UACGUAGGGGGCAAGCGUUGUCCGGAAUCAUUGGGCGUAAAGAGCGUGUAGGCGGUCCGGUAAGUCGGCUGUGAAAGUCCAGGGCUCAACCCUGGGAUGCCGGUCGAUACUGCCGGACUAGAGUUCGGAAGAGGCGAGUGGAAUUCCCGGUGUAGCGGUGAAAUGCGCAGAUAUCAGGAGGAACACCAAUUGCGAAGGCAGCUCGCUGGGACGUAACUGACGCUGAGACGCGAAAGCGUGGGGAGCAAACAGG
This 253-nucleotide ribosomal RNA is filed under the name uncultured bacterium. RNAcentral's name for it is "partial 16S ribosomal RNA". It matches the Rfam family "Bacterial small subunit ribosomal RNA", at positions 524 to 776 of the family's 1533-position model. The record is from RNAcentral.